GACAGAGGAGCCAAGCGUUGUCCGGAUUGACUGGGCGUAAAGCGCACGCAGGCGGUCGUGCACGUGGGGUGUGAAAACUGGCGGCUUAACUGCCAGAGGCCACCUCAUACGGCGCGACUCGAGCCCGUGAGAGGUCCAUGGAAUUGCCGGUGUAGUGGUGAAAUGCGUAGAGAUCGGCAGGAACACCCAGGGAGAAAUCAGUGGACUGGCACGGUGCUGACGCUCAGGUGCGAAAGCGUGGGGAGCGAACAGG
This 253-nucleotide ribosomal RNA is filed under the name uncultured bacterium. RNAcentral's name for it is "partial 16S ribosomal RNA". It matches the Rfam family "Bacterial small subunit ribosomal RNA", at positions 524 to 776 of the family's 1533-position model. The record is from RNAcentral.